GACAGUGACCAGGUGUAGGGCAGAUGAAGUAUUUUGGUCCAACUGUCUUGAGUUCAAUAUCGGUGUCUCCGUCGGAAUGUUUCUCAGACGCGGAGGAGCCGUCGCAGCCAUCAUAUCCGGCUUUGUCAACCACAUCCACCGAGUGUGAGGCACCAUACUUGAACUCUGUUUCAAAACCGCCAUUGAAAAAAUCAAAACCUAAGUACAGAGUUUUUUCCCUGAAGAAUAGAAUUUUCUUGUGGAUUAAGUUCUCAUAUUCUCAUCUCUUUUUGUUAAAAAGUUCUCAUCUCAUUAUGAGAAACCUAAGAGUCUUAAAUGUGGAUAAACCGAACCGAAAUCAAACUGAACCAAAUAAGCGUAGAACAAAUUGUACAUAGAAGAAACAAAUUAACAAUUAUACUUUCUCUAUGUUCAAGAGACUGGAACCAAAAAACAAAACUAAUUCCGUAUCAAGCUAGAUUUUAGUUCAGUUGAGUUACUAGAUUUUACCAUAGCUUGAAUCUACAUAUAGAAGUUAUAACUUGAUGAUGGUUUACCUAGAGUGUCACCAACCCUGAAAGUCUUUCCUUUAACCCAAUCUGCGUAGUCCACACCACUGGCCCAUUGAGAAGCGUCUCCGACCGUGUGCGUCACAGCGAGCGCGGCUGGGACAAUGGCCAGGACUAGGAGAAGAGCGGUUGCAGCCAUCUUUAAUGAACCAUUCAUUGCCAUUUUUGUUUGGAAGAGAG
Molecule: long non-coding RNA, 728 nt
Filed under: Eutrema salsugineum
Lineage: Eukaryota; Viridiplantae; Streptophyta; Magnoliopsida; Brassicales; Brassicaceae
Description: long non-coding RNA (ESAL_LNC001011)
Source: RNAcentral